UGGAGAUUUAACAUCAGAACAUCGCCUGACAUUAAAGCUAUGAAGAAAUAAGACUUGGACAUUCUAGAACUUCGGGAGGACAUCUCCCUCUUUCCAGAAGAAAAGGCUCAGGGAUGCUUUUCAUUAUGUCCACCAUCAAAAGUUCACCAGCUCCAGACAGCUCCUGAGCUCAAAUAAAUCUCUUGAAUUCCACA
Molecule: non-coding RNA, 194 nt
Organism: Cyanistes caeruleus (blue tit)
Lineage: Eukaryota; Metazoa; Chordata; Aves; Passeriformes; Paridae
Source: RefSeq, a predicted model, not a curated record